UCUUCAGAUGAGAUCCCAAGCCUUCUGGCGAUCUGUUCUCCCAAGCCUUUAAAUGGUUUUGAAAGAUUUUUUGUUUUUUGUCAGAUUAUGCCGGGAAGGGUUUUCCGGUUUACCCCGGAGGGCUUGUAGCUCAGUUGGUUAGAGCGCGCGCUUGAUAAGCGUGAGGUCGGAGGUUCAAGUCCUCCCAGGCCCACCAAUUUAUGCUUGCUUAUGGGAAUUGUUUGUUCUGUGGAAUUUUUUUAAGCCUUUCAAGCAGUUGAUAUUCUUUUAGGGGCCGUAGCUCAGCUGGGAGAGCACCUGCUUUGCAAGCAGGGG
This 315-nucleotide unclassified non-coding RNA is filed under the name Bartonella sp. Its description in RNAcentral is "partial 16S-23S ribosomal RNA intergenic spacer". The stretch from base 120 to 193 matches the Rfam family "tRNA". RNAcentral also lists the same sequence under 1 other name. The record is from RNAcentral. Lineage: Bacteria; Pseudomonadati; Pseudomonadota; Alphaproteobacteria; Hyphomicrobiales; Bartonellaceae.